RNAcentral lists this small RNA (2556 nucleotides) under Histoplasma capsulatum var. duboisii H88. Its description in RNAcentral is "Histoplasma capsulatum H88 hypothetical RNA". Lineage: Eukaryota; Fungi; Ascomycota; Eurotiomycetes; Onygenales; Ajellomycetaceae. The record is from RNAcentral.
UGACAAGCUGUAUUAGAUAUCUCUUUGUGUCACGUUUUGUCUGUAUAUCCCACCGAAAAAAAGCGUAUCUUUCGAUUUUCGUUAAGCAGUUAUGGCAGAUGCUCUGUCUAUUGAGCAGAAUAAUAAGAUCCGAAUCGCUCUUGGCCUGAAACCUCUUCCAGUCCCCGGCGCCACUGAUAACAACAACGAUGGGCCCGUUUUCAAGCCAUCAAGAGAUGGCAACGAUUCGGAUUCCUCGGGUGACGAACCAGCAAGCACGUUAGAAUCGCGGCAGGCACAGGGAUACGACAACUGGAAGAAAUACCAAGAUGAAGCUGAGGCGAAGAAGAAGCGCCAGGAGAAACUGGACGCUAUUAAGCGGGCCCGUGAAAAAGCUCAGAAACUGGUGAAGCUCGAAGGCAAGGGGCUUGGCGAGCUAGAUUCCGAGGAGGCUGCUUUGGAUACCAAAACUUGGCUGAAGCAGCAGAAGAAGCGGCAGCGGAAGGUCGAGAAGGAGCGCGCAAAGAGGCUCGCAGAGGAACUUGCCGAGAGGGAGCGGAUUGCGGAAUAUACUGCUAAGGAUCUGGCGGGCGUGAGGGUUGGGCAUGAGCUAGGUGAUUUCGAAGCAGGAGGGGAGCAGAUUCUUACGCUUAAGGAUACCACGAUCGAUGAAAAUGAGGAGGAAGGCGAUGAGUUGGAGAAUAUCGAUUUACGAGACCGGGAGCGGCUCAACGAGAGAUUGGCUUUGAAGAAAAAGAAGCCGGUGUAUGAUCCUAAUGAUUUCGAUGGAUCUGGUUCCGGUUCUAUUCUGGCGCAAUAUGACGAGGAGAUCGACGGGAAGAAGAGGAAACGGUUUACAUUGGAUGCUAAAGUUAUAAAUGAGGAAGAGCGGAUGGCCAAGCGGCAGGAUGUGUCGUCGAAGUUAAAAGCGCAACCUGUCAACCUCGAUAUCAUGCCCGAAACUACAGCGACGCCAUCAGACUACCAGGAAGCGACAGACAUUAAAAUCAAGAAACCGAAAAAGAAGAAAACGAAAUCUACGAGGCGAAAAGCGGUGGAUGAGGAUGAUAUCUUCCCAACUAUAGAAACUACAGAUAUUCCUAACGGUGGUACUGGUGUGCAAUCCAAUGGAGAUAAUAUGGAAGUGGAUUCAGUAGCUCCCAGUAAUGGACUUUCGACCCGCACCCCGAGACAAUCAGAUAGGGACGUAUCUUUCGUUGACGAUGAGGAUUUACAAGCAUCGCUAGCGGCGCAGAGACGAACUGCAUUCAAGAAAAGGAAGAAGGUUCGCCCGGAGGAUAUCGCAAGACAAUUGCGAGAAGAGUCGGAACAAGCGCAGAAUGGGAUGGAUUUGGACAAUGCGAAUGGUGAGGAUGACGGUCCUGGUCUGGUUAUCGAUGAGACAUCUGAAUUUGUCGCAAACCUGCAGCGCCCCACACUCCCUGAUCGUCGCCAGCGCUCAGUCUCACGGCCGAAAGAAGCAUCUCCUGAGGUGAAAGAAGAAAGGCACGAAGAUGUGGAUAUGGAUAUGGAGCGGUCGUAUAAUGAUAUUGAAGAUGAAGAGGAUCUCCAAGAACGCUUGAAGAGAAGCGAUACCACGCCAGCUGCUGAUAUUACCGCUACUGGAUUAGAAGAGGAAUCGACACUUGACAAGGGUCUCGGUGCUACACUCGCCAUGCUUAAGCAACGUGGACUGGUAAAGGAAUCAAAUGCGAGCGAGCUAAACACUCUCCACCGUGAGCGCCAACGAUUCCUACAAGAGAAGCAACGGCGCGAAGCGGAAGCAGAGCGACGCGCUCGACUCCAGCGAGAACGCGACCGUGCCUCGGGCAAGCUGGACCGCAUGACCGCUCGGGACCGGGAGGAGUACGCACGGCAGGAAAACAAGCAGCGCGACCAGCUAGAGUCGCGCCAGAUGGCCGAGAUCUUCAACCGCGAGUAUAAGCCGGACGUACAGCUGAAGUAUGUGGAUGAUUUUGGUCGGUUGAUGGACCAGAAAGAGGCAUUUAAGCACCUUUCGCACCAGUUCCAUGGCAAGGGAAGCGGGAAGAUGAAGACGGAAAAGCACCUGAAGAAGAUUGAAGAGGAGAAGAAGCGGGAGGCGAUGAGUACGUUGGAUAGUAGCCAGCAUACGGGAAUGAAUAAUGCGAUGGGGGCAACAGCGAGGAGGAAUCGGCAGGCUGGGGUUCGGCUUGGGUGAGGGGUGUUCCGGUAGGCCGAUCAUGCAUGUGUAUAUAGGUAUAUUAUUACCAUCGAGUCGUUAUUUAUUACGGCGUGAUUGUCUAAGAUUGCGUCUUUGCUUAAACAAAGAGGUUAGUUACAAUGAAAAACAUGAUGAAGCUGGAGAUUGGCAAUUCUGCUUGCCCGGCUAGAGUGAUAUUAUUCCCUUAUAUUUGCUCUUCACAAUUGAGAUCGAUGGUCAUGUUUGUCUUCUUCCUUUCUCCCUCUCACUGGCCACUGUUGCUACUUCUACCGUAUCUGAAGUCGCAAGCGGCCUACUUUGGAGGGCAUAUCUGAAUGUAACUGACUCCGGGCACCAGGGCAUGGAUGUGAAAAGAAACUCUUGUAAAGCUGGCU